RNAcentral lists this ribosomal RNA (270 nucleotides) under uncultured bacterium. RNAcentral describes it as "partial 16S ribosomal RNA". It matches the Rfam family "Bacterial small subunit ribosomal RNA", at positions 100 to 353 of the family's 1533-position model. The record is from RNAcentral.
CGGGUAGAGUAACACGUAAACAACCUGCCUUCAGGAUGGGGACAACAGACGGAAACGACUGCUAAUACCGAAUAAGUUCCAAGAGCCGCAUGGCCCAUGGAAGAAAAGGUGGCCUCUACCUGUAAGCUAUCGCCUGAAGAGGGGUUUGCGUCUGAUUAGCUGGUUGGAGGGGUAACGGCCCACCAAGGCGACGAUCAGUAGCCGGUCUGAGGGGAUGAACGGCCACACUGGAACUGAGACACGGUCCAGACUCCUACGGGAGGCAGCAUG